RNAcentral lists this ribosomal RNA (492 nucleotides) under uncultured bacterium. RNAcentral's name for it is "partial 16S ribosomal RNA". It matches the Rfam family "Bacterial small subunit ribosomal RNA", at positions 29 to 507 of the family's 1533-position model. The record is from RNAcentral.
AGUGAACGCUGGCGGUAGGCCUAACACAUGCAAGUCGAACGGCAGCACAGUAAGAGCUUGCUCUUACGGGUGGCGAGUGGCGGACGGGUGAGGAAUACAUCGGAAUCUACUUUUUCGUGGGGGAUAACGUAGGGAAACUUACGCUAAUACCGCAUACGACCUACGGGUGAAAGCAGGGGAUCUUCGGACCUUGCGCGAUUGAAUGAGCCGAUGUCGGAUUAGCUAGUUGGCGGGGUAAAGGCCCACCAAGGCGACGAUCCGUAGCUGGUCUGAGAGGAUGAUCAGCCACACGGUAUCUGAGACACGGUCCAGACUCCUACGGGAGGCAGCAGUGGGGAAUAUUGCGCAAUGGGCGCAAGCCUGAUCCAGCCAUACCGCGUGGGUGAAGAAGGCCCUCGGGUUGUAAAGCCCUUUUGUUGGUAAAGAAAAGCAGCAGGUUAAUACCCCGCUGUUCUGACGGUACCAAAAGAAUAAGCACCGGCUAACUUCGUG